Molecule: ribosomal RNA, 483 nt
Filed under: uncultured bacterium
Lineage: Bacteria
Description: partial 16S ribosomal RNA
Rfam family: Bacterial small subunit ribosomal RNA
Source: RNAcentral
UUGCACGCUGGCGGCCGGCCUAACACAUGCAAGUCGCGCGGAUGAAGGGAGCUUGCUCCUGGAUUCAGCGGCGGACGGGUGAGUAAUGCCUAGGAAUCUGCCUGGUAGUGGGGGAUAACGUCCGGAAACGGGCGCUAAUACCGCAUACGUCCUGAGGGAGAAAGUGGGGGAUCUUCGGACCUCACGCUAUCAGAUGAGCCUAGGUCGGAUUAGCUAGUUGGUGGGGUAAAGGCCUACCAAGGCGACGAUCCGUAACUGGUCUGAGAGGAUGAUCAGUCACACUGGAACUGAGACACGGUCCAGACUCCUACGGGAGGCAGCAGUGGGGAAUAUUGGACAAUGGGCGAAAGCCUGAUCCAGCCAUGCCGCGUGUGUGAAGAAGGUCUUCGGAUUGUAAAGCACUUUAAGUUGGGAGGAAGGGCAGUAAGUUAAUACCUUGCUGUUUUGACGUUACCAACAGAAUAAGCACCGGCUAACUUCGUG